AAUCCCCUGCUUCGCCAAAGCCCUGCGUGCCACGCUGGGUACUUGUAGGCAAAGUGGGGGAUU
Molecule: non-coding RNA, 63 nt
Filed under: unclassified sequences
Description: DUF3800-VIII RNA
Rfam family: DUF3800-VIII RNA
About the family: Bacteroidetes, Cyanobacteria, Firmicutes, Planctomycetes (1 example), Proteobacteria, Tenericutes (1 example). Nearby to DUF3800
Source: Rfam by way of RNAcentral